Molecule: long non-coding RNA, 912 nt
Filed under: Lynx pardinus (Iberian lynx)
Lineage: Eukaryota; Metazoa; Chordata; Mammalia; Carnivora; Felidae
Source: RNAcentral
UCAACCCUUUGUGUUCAGUGACCACUCAGACAUUGCUCUUCCUUAAAAACCACCGAAACGUGUAUUUGGCAGACCUCCCUGACCUCGAUUUCUCUGCUGGCAGAAUCACAAGAAAGGCAUUAGCGCUUUCUGUGAAAUGGGGAGCCAGGCAAAGGAAAUGCCCGGGUUGGGUGGCAGGGGCCUAAAGAAACAACGGAUAUACGAGAUUUUAAUCACCAAGAUGGGGUUCUGUGCCAGACACUGGGGAGGUAAGACUCAGAUCUCUGUUACACCGGUGGGGGGAGGUGCAAUGUUGAUUGAGUGGUGAGAAAUGAAAGCUCUUUGGUCUGCACAGAAAGUCUCCCUUACACUUCAUAGGUUUCCUGGUAGCAAAGAGUCACUGUGAGCUGUGGUCCCUUCCCCACCUGGCCCCAGAACCUGACAUCACGAAGAGUGGCAGGGCCUUCAGGGUAAAGGUGAUUCAACCUGUCACUAAAUCCAAGGACAAAUCCCACAUCUCCUGGCUGUGCUCUGAUGCCCUCGACUAUCGCAGACAGCAGCACAGAGCCUGCAGCACCCCUUGGCAGGCAUCACUGGGAAACAUUCAUUACCAGCCUUCUUUGCACCCCCCUCCCCCUAGCUUCAUCGCUGUGCAUCUCAGACAAACGGCUAAGUGCACAGCUGGCCUCUGCCCUCCUGGCCUUCCUCCUUCAUUUGCUUUUACAACAGUUACAAAGGCCUGAGCUAUAAAAAGGUUUCUAAUCCAUUCUAGCCAGGAGAGUGCCCAGAUUGAGAAAGGCAGAGAGUAGGCAAAAGAGGAAUAGAACCAACUAGUCUUUAAAGUCCUAAAUGGGGACGCUGAUGUAGCAAGAGCCUCUGACAAAGUCUUUCCCAAUAAGGGAAAAAGGGAAAUGGUUGAAAGCACAGGCUCAG